RNA transcript from Zingiber officinale, 2006 nucleotides. It is a transcript of the gene named tRNA threonylcarbamoyladenosine dehydratase-like, with no coding region annotated. The transcript has 12 exons. The record is from RefSeq and is a predicted model, not a curated record. Lineage: Eukaryota; Viridiplantae; Streptophyta; Magnoliopsida; Zingiberales; Zingiberaceae.
ACUCCUUCCUUCCUCAGCCGCGCUAGACUAGGGUUUAAAACCACGAGCACUGGGUGAGACAGUCUUGGGAAUGGCGGAGAGAUCGAAGCAGUGGCUUCUGAUUGCAACGGGCACCCUCCUUGGCUCCUUCUGCACCUUAGCGCUUCUUAGAUUUCUUUCUAGAAAGGAGGAGAAGCAGAAUGGUCGAUCUUCUUCCCAAUUUAACCCACAAAAUGGCAUGAUCGAUAAUAAAAAAAAGCUUGCAGGAUGCAGAACUAGUUGUCAGGAUAGUUUAAAGAAUUUGCAUGGAUUGGAUUUAGAAGAUGAGGUAGUAUCUGAACAAUUGACAAGGAACAUCCAAUUCUUUGGUUUUGAGUUUCAAAGAAAAGUAUCGGAUGCCUAUGUUGUUGUUGUUGGUCUUGGUGGAGUUGGUAGUCAUGCUGCUUCCAUGCUUUUGCGAUCUGGUAUUGGCAGGCUCCUUCUUGUGGAUUUUGACCAGGUGUCACUUUCAUCACUAAAUCGUCAUGCUGUGGCCAACAGAGACGAUGUUGGAACCCCUAAGGCCCUUUGUCUGCAGAAGCAUUUUGCAAGCAUAUUCCCCGAGAGUAAUGUGGAAGUAAAAGUUCAGAUGUAUGAUACAUCAUCUGAGGAAGAAAUUCUAUCAGGCUACCCAGACUUUGUUCUUGAUUGCAUUGACAAUAUUGACACCAAGGUUGCUCUCCUUGCUGCUUGUGUGCGUAGAGGUUUGAAGGUUCUCUCAGCAAUGGGUGCGGGUGCUAGAGCUGAUCCAACGCGAAUUCGUGUUGCUGACUUGAGAGAAUCAAUCAAUGACCCACUAUCUCGAGCGGUCAGAUACCGUUUGAGAAAAGACCAUGGGAUUGAUGGUGGAAUACCUGUGGUAUUUUCUUUGGAGAAACCAAAGAUGAAGUUGCUUCCUUUUAAAAGUUUAACUGAAGAAGAAGAAAAUCCUUCAGACUAUCAGGUAGUACCAGGUUUCAGAGUUCGUAUUAUACCUGUUCUGGGUACUAUUCCAGCAAUUUUUGGGCAAAUAAUGGCCUCAUAUGUUGUGACUCUGUUAUCGGGAUUGUCUGUUGAAAUGGAACCUGUGGUUAAUUUGGAUUUGGAUCAUUAUGGGAUUCUUCAUAACCGCCUUGUUGAGCAUGAAGAGUCAGUUUAUGGCUUUUCCAUUGAAGUUUUGGUUGAUGUUGAAGAAGUUAUGUAUGUCGUCAAAGAGUUGUGGCAUGGAAGAAGUGCAAGGGAUCAAUCCUUGAUAAAUGUUGGGCGCAAAAUGUGGCGGUCUGUUAAUGAGUUAAUGCUCGUAAGGUAAUUAUUACUCCAUUUCUUCUAGAAGCUUGGGAGAGAGACGUCAAAGCUCAUCUUCAGUAAUCAAAGUUUCAUCAAUUUCUGAAAGUCCUUUCCAAGGUGGGACAAAUCACAACCUGCUACAGUUACAAACUUGAUACUCCUGAAGCUUAAUGAGGUGAACGCACAUGAAUCAAGUACAAUAGACCUCAUAAAGGAGAAAGAGCCUGAAUUUUAUUCCUUGGUGACUCACGUGCUGAAUCGAGCAAAGAUAGACUUCGGUCUAUAGCUUGCAACUACAGAAUCAUUUUUUUGACAAAUAUGAUCAUUCUUGCUGUUCUUGUAGAGGCACAAACUUGAUAUUUGCAAAAGCUAGUGAUCCGUGUGCAACUUACUGCAUAUCAAACCCAAAUGGUCAACAAAUUAAAGUGUCUAGGGAGGAUAUUACAAGAAUUGGUACAUCCUACAAAGGUCAGGCACACCUGUGAUGCAACCUCGACGGCAACAAAUGUAUCUUAAAUUCUCUCAAAUUAUAGAUCCAUCCGUUGCUACUUGGGAUCCUUGUGGACUUAUUGACUGUCUAUUGGUGUUAUGAGCUGAAUUUAAGUUUCACCUAAAUUAAACUUAAGUGUAACAUAUUUAACUGGGAUUUUGUUGUUCUAGGUUGAACUCAAAUUGAGGCUGAAUUGGUGUAAAAUUUCCAUCAUUGCUCUCAGUUACCAAUA